Molecule: long non-coding RNA, 658 nt
Organism: Tribolium madens (black flour beetle)
Lineage: Eukaryota; Metazoa; Arthropoda; Insecta; Coleoptera; Tenebrionidae
Exons: 2
Source: RefSeq, a predicted model, not a curated record
CUUUUUUAUUCUUUUAAUUCGAGAUCAUUUUUGUUUAUUGGGUGACAUCUAGAAAACAAUGAUAGAGUUAUAAAAGUCUAAACCAAGGUCCCGUCAAUACGUAAAUAUUAUAUUCUAAAUAUUUCAGUCACAGUUUUAGGUUCAGAAAUUUCAGUUGUCGGUUCUUUGAAUGCUGACUGCAAAAACCUGAACAAUCAAAAUGUAUGUAACUACAUAACCUUACUUUUGGGUUUUAUUCAAUCUUAAUUAAUAAAAAAAAAAGAAAAAGAAAACAUAAAAUACAGAUACAUAGAAAGUAAGUACUGCCAUUAAGCUUUUUAUAGUAUAUACAAUGGUACUGCCUAUCCCAAUACCAAGUUUCAUAUCUACAUAUUUUUUAGACUGUUAAAAAGUAAAGCAAARAGUUAGAGCWUGAAAUUUUAUUAUAAGAAUGAACAUCAUCAAUGACUCCAUCCACAGUUUGAAAAUCUGAUAAUAUUAAGGUUUAGGUUGAUCAAAUAGUGGACCUGGAAUCUGGUGCUAAUUCAUGUGAAUAAAGGAAAUAGGAAAAGACAAGUACCUACUGUAAUCCAAAGGUCCAACUUGCUUCCAUUGAUCUUUCCUUGCACUACAGGAUAUACUUAAUGUCAAUUACUGGAAAUAUAUUUCUAUGAGUUUA